UACGUAGGGUGCAAGCGUUAAUCGGAAUUACUGGGCGUAAAGCGUGCGCAGGCGGUUAUGCAAGACAGAUGUGAAAUCCCCGGGCUUAACCUGGGAACUGCAUUUGUGACUGCAUAGCUGGAGUACGGUAGAGGGGGAUGGAAUUCCGCGUGUAGCAGUGAAAUGCGUAGAUAUCGGGAGGAACACCGGUGGCGAAGGCGGCGACCUGGUUCGAUACUGACACUGAGGUGCGAAAGCGUGGGGAGCAAACAGG
Molecule: ribosomal RNA, 253 nt
Filed under: uncultured prokaryote
Description: partial 16S ribosomal RNA
Rfam family: Bacterial small subunit ribosomal RNA
Source: RNAcentral